UACUACCGAAGCUACGGCAUCAGUAAUGAUGGGUAGGGGAGCUUCCCAUACGGGUUGAAGCAUGACCGUAAGGACAUGUGGACAGUAUGGGAGUGAGAAUGUUGGCAUGAGUAGCGAGAUGUGGGUGGGAAUCCCACAGGCCGUAAACCCAAGGUUGCCAGGGGAAGGUUCGUCCGCCCUGGGUUAGUCGGGACCUAAGCUGAGGCCGAAAGGCGUAGGUGAUGGACAACAGGUUGAUAUUCCUGUACUACCGAUAACC
This 259-nucleotide ribosomal RNA is filed under the name Clostridioides difficile. Its description in RNAcentral is "partial 23S ribosomal RNA". It matches the Rfam family "Bacterial large subunit ribosomal RNA", at positions 1189 to 1455 of the family's 2925-position model. Lineage: Bacteria; Bacillati; Bacillota; Clostridia; Peptostreptococcales; Peptostreptococcaceae. The record is from RNAcentral.